AAGAUGAAUAUCUCUUCCUUUGGGGCUUCUCAAAAGCGGGCCCAGUAGGAAUGGUCAUUUUGUACAGUCCAGGCUGUAAGUGUCAGGAGCUUUGAACGCUCAGCACGCUUCCCACUGUGCUGAGAAUGCAGGGGAGAUUGGGUGUUGACCUUCUUUAGAGUAUAUUUGCCCAGCUAAUGGGAGUCCCUUAAUGGGACUCAAAUGGCUUAAUGCCAUCAAAAUACAAAAACUGGAAAUCCAUUUUCACACUUUCAUUCGGAUAAUCCCAGCCACCCGUAUCUCACAAGAGCAUGGCAGGAAUUCUUCAAGGCUGGUCCCCUCUCCCCCGCGCCGGAGAUGAUGGAUGGAUCUUCCAAAGACGCGAUUUUCGGCUUCCGGCCUGCAUCCGGCCUCAGGAUGAAGCCGCUCUGGGUCCUCCUCAUACCAGUAAAUCUGGGAUCAAAUCUUCUCCAGCUUCGUCUGUCCUGCCUGCUCCCGAGGGUCUGGCCGUUGUCAGGGAUGGAACCUGGGCCCCCAGCAGAGGAAGCGCGGAGUUCUAAUCACUGGACCACCAGGGAAGUUCCUGCAUCUCCUGUCCCUUGAAAGGACCUGACAGCAGCAGAAGCCGUGUGGGUCGGUUUUCCCAGCACAUCAUUUCUCGGGCUCCGGGUCAGUCCACGGGCCUUUCCUUGGUGCCACUUGCCCAGCACGGCCACGUGUCUCUCCAUCUCCAAUAUCAUCAAGGAGCAACGCCUUUUCCCUCAUCCCACCCGCAUCCCUGCCGGCCCCUGGGUCCUCCCAGACACAAGUGCUGGGCUCACGGGAUGUGUCGCUAUUCUCUUUGCUUCAGCUGCCUUGGGGACAGAGUAGCCUGCAUUUGGGAAUGAUUUAGAGUUUUUGCAUAUAUUACUUCAUUCGAGUCUCACAAAUUCUGGGAAUUAACAGAAGCAUUUUCUAGACGUGGAAACUGAGCCUCAGAUUCAGCAGUACAUUCGUAACCAGUGACACUGGGUUUGAAUCUAAGGAUUUCAGGUUCUUUCCCUCAGUUCCUUUCUAACUGUGUAUUUUUGCAGCAUGAGUCUUGUGCUUUUGUAGUUUGGUCACCCAGAUGCUCCAGAGCCCCACCGUGGUACUCGGCCGGCCUGGCUGCUGAGAGCUGCGUGUGUUGAUACAGGCAGAGCCAGGAGGACGCUGGCCACAAGCCCGGCCAGUCCCCAACUCUCUGCUCUGUCCCUGGCAGCAGGUGGCAGUUUCCAUUCCGCCUCCGCACCGUCCUGUGUGCCCCGGGGCAGGACAGCAGCUGGGAGGCGGGAGCCCGGGCCAGGCCCGUCCAGGCCCCACAUGUGGCUCCAUUCCCACAGGGUGACAGCCAUGCUCCUUAGCCAGGAGGCCAAGCCCCUCCCCUGCCAGUCCAGCCUCCUUCUUCCAACUCCCUGCCGGCCGUCCCCUGUCCCCAUAGCCCUGCUCUCAGCACGACGCUCAGCACCUGCCAAGCCCCUUUGCCUCUCUCCCUCCGUCCUGGCUCGCCGACAAGGGCCUGUGUCCAUUGCUCUGUGGGCCGGUAGGGAGUGAGGAGAAAGGAUCUGCAAGGAAACUUGGCACCUGUGAGAGAAAGGGCACUGUCACCGGGCCCUGGCUGCACUAUUGCCACCCACGGCACCUCUUCUGCCGCGUCAGCCUGGGCUCCCCUUGGUUUGCUAACUUUGAUUCCCCAACAGUAACGCAGCAAGGCAGCUCCAAGUGAAGCAAGGCCACCUGCUCCAAGCAGGCGGGUCGGGGGAAAGGGAAUCCCUCCGGCAACCAUGGGAUCUCGGGAAGCAGACACGUGCUUGCGUAGAGAGUGCAAGCGUGAAGUUCGCAUUAGCCAGAUGGACCUGGGUUGGAACCCUGGCCGCCCCGGACAACAUCGUGUAACCUGGUGACUCCCCCGGUGGCCGGGAGCCGGGGGCUGACGGAGAGAAGGCCGGCAAGGCGCCGGCUGGUCUGCGCCUUCGGUGGUCCCUGAUCUCGUUAGGUUAUUAUUACUGCCCGGUGGUGGGGCGGGCCUGAGGGGGAGGGGUACAGGUCUGUUCCAGGGGGGACAGGAUCUGACAUGAUGAAUCCUUCAUACGUGGCCCCGAACGAGCACUGUUCUCGUUCAGUCCUCCCAACCAACUUAGGCUCGUCCCCAGGUCAAGCCUGAGGGAGCAAAGCCUCCGAGGCCACCCCGCCAGGGGACAGACCCCUGCCCUCAGCCGUCCUCCCAUCUGCUUCCCCGAGAUCCCAAAGCCCCGGGUUCCCCCCACCUUUGCUCAUUUUCCACGUAGCUAUGCUUUGUCCUCUGCAUCCACAGACUGAGUUAUUUCUGCUCAAAACCACCAUUUGCUCUGCAAGAUUAAUUCCGAGUCCUCAGUCUGGCCCGGGAGAGGGACCCCCAGCCCCGCUCAGCGCCUGGCCUCCCCACCGCCCCGGUUCUGUGGCUGCACCUGAAGCUGCUGGGCCUGAGGGACCCUCCUCCUUCCCCUGUAACGCCCGGUUAAGGGUCAGCUCCAUGGGGAAGCUCCGCCCCCCUCACCAGGCAGAGGCUGUUGCUUCUCUGCGGUCACCACCCCACCAUGGGGUAGCUGAUGGGUGUGCACGGUACCCCAUGAGCUAAUCAAGAAAAUCAGCAUUUAUUGUCCUCCUUUGCACAAUGGGGCUAAUUGUGCUAAAAGGAGUAUUUUUUUUAAACGUCUUUUUUUGGAAUAUAAUUGCUUUACAAUGGUGUGUUAGUUUCUGCUUUAUAACAAAGUGAAUCAGCUAUACAUAUACAUAUAUCCCUAUAUCCCUUCCCUCUUUCAUUUCCCUCCCUUCCUCCCUACCCCACCCCUCUAGGUGGACACAAAGCACCGAGCUGAUCUCCCUGUGAUAUGCGACUGCUUCCCACUAUCUAUCUGUUUGACAUUUGGUGGUGUAUAUAUGUCCAUGCCACUCUCUCGCUUCAUCCCAGUUUACCCUUCCCCCUCCCCGUGUCCUCAAGCCCAUGCUCUACAUCUGCGUCUUUAUUCCUGUCCUGCCCUUAGGUUCUUCAGACUUUUUUUUUUUUUCAUUUUAGAUUCCAUAUAUAUGUGUUAGCAUACGGUAUUUGUUUUUCUCUUUCUGACUUACUUCACUCUGUAUGACAGACUCUAGGUCCAUCUGCCUCACUACAAAUAACUUAAUUUCGUUUCUUUUUAUGGCUGAGUAAUAUUCCAUUCUAUACAUGUGCCACAUCUUCUAAAAGGAGUAUUUUAUAAGGUUUUUAUUUUAUAAAAAUUAAAUGAGUUAACACAGUACCUAGAAUAAUGCUUGGUUCACAGUAAGAGCUAAUAAGGCUGGCUGUUACUAAUAUGACACUCUUGGUAGAUGUUAAAAUAAUACAUGAGAAUGGAAUGAGAAGUCCAAUGGAACCUUUGCCUGUCAUAGACUUUUGGUUUCCUUUCUUUCCUAUCUAUUAAAAAACCUCCAGCCCAAUGUGACUUUCAAAGUUUAUAAAAUGUGAAGAAUGAGUUAGUUUAAAUGUCACAGAAAAAGUUAGUGUGCUCAGUUCCCACCAUAUUACUUCUUGGAAGAUAUCCAGCAUUCAAACCAUACACCACCACUGUCCUUUAGUUUGUCUUUAAAUAAAAAUCUUCAUUUCUCGACUGACGGUAAAGAACUUGGCAUUGGAAAAAUUAACGUUUGAUGCUGGUGCAGAGUCAGAGAAAGCUGUCCCUUGAGUAUAUUUGGGGCUUGUUUUAGCCAGAUUAACUUUAGUUUUUGGUGAGAUGAGAUUUUCAGCUGUUUUUCAGUACUGCAGAGACACACAGCACUAUAGCGUUUAUUUCAUAUAAAAUAAACCCAGGGUUUCAGUGCUCCCAAGGGCUCUCGUCAUAGACCGAGGAAAAGUAGAGACCAGAAAGGCAUUAAUAUUAUUAGUUCUGAUCGCGGGCCAAGCACAGAGCUCUGGGCUUAGAUGAUCUCAUCCAGGAUGUGGGAUAAAUAGGAAUGGAACUGUUGAAUAUUUGGGAUGAAAUGUAAGCAUUUUGGGAAUCUAUAUGCAGCAGAUGUGGCCCCCUCCUCUCACUGUGUGUCUGUGCGUCCAUCCACGCUGCAGCACCAUUGGGCGUCUACGUGGUGCUACAGCCCAGCACUCCAGGGAGAGUGAGAUGGCAAAUUAACCUCCGUGCUCGUAGCACAGAGC
Mesoplodon densirostris (Blainville's beaked whale) is the source of this 4159-nucleotide long non-coding RNA. RefSeq lists it as uncharacterized. The transcript is spliced from 3 exons. The record is from RefSeq and is a predicted model, not a curated record. Lineage: Eukaryota; Metazoa; Chordata; Mammalia; Artiodactyla; Ziphiidae.